Molecule: long non-coding RNA, 182 nt
Organism: Corapipo altera (White-ruffed manakin)
Lineage: Eukaryota; Metazoa; Chordata; Aves; Passeriformes; Pipridae
Exons: 3
Source: RefSeq, a predicted model, not a curated record
UGAAGGCAGGGAGACCCUGCAGAGAGACCUCGACAAAUUACAGGACUGGGCAAUCACCAACAACAUGAAGUUCAACAAGGGAAAGUGCCAGAUCCUGCACCCGGGAUGGGGCAACCCUUGAUGUACAGUCAGACUGGGGAAUGAGAUGCUAAAGAGCAGUGCUGCUGUGGAAAGGGACCUGG